RNAcentral lists this unclassified non-coding RNA (342 nucleotides) under soil metagenome. RNAcentral's name for it is "partial contains 5.8S ribosomal RNA, internal transcribed spacer 2, and large subunit ribosomal RNA". The stretch from base 1 to 120 matches the Rfam family "5.8S ribosomal RNA", at positions 35 to 154 of the family's 154-position model. The record is from RNAcentral.
GAUGAAGAACGCAGCGAAAUGCGAUACGUAAUGUGAAUUGCAGAAUUCAGUGAAUCAUCGAAUCUUUGAACGCACAUUGCGCCCGCCAGCAUUCUGGCGGGCAUGCCUGUUCGAGCGUCAUUUCAACCCUCGAGCCCCCCCGGGGGCCUCGGUGUUGGGGGACGGCACACCAGCCGCCCCCGAAAUGCAGUGGCGACCCCGCCGCAGCCUCCCCUGCGUAGUAGCACACACCUCGCACCGGAGCGCGGAGGCGGUCACGCCGUAAAACGCCCAACUUUCUUAGAGUUGACCUCGGAUCAGGUAGGAAUACCCGCUGAACUUAAGCAUAUCAAUAACGGAGGA